CGAACGCUGGCGGCGUGCCUAAUACAUGCAAGUGGAACGCAUCUUCUCUCCCGUUCUCGGAAACACCUGAGAAGAUGAGUCGCGAACGGGUGAGUAACGCGUAGGUAACCUGCCUCAUAGCGGGGGAUAACUAUUGGAAACGAUAGCUAAUACCGCAUAACAGCUUUUCUCGCAUGAGAGAAGUUUGAAAGGCGCAAUUGCGUCACUAUGAGAUGGACCUGCGUUGUAUUAGCUAGUUGGUGGGGUAACGGCUCACCAAGGCGACGAUACAUAGCCGGCCUGAGAGGGUGAUCGGCCACACUGGGACUGAGACACGGCCCAGACUCCUACGGGAGGCAGCAGUAGGGAAUCUUCGGCAAUGGGGGCAACCCUGACCGAGCAACGCCGCGUGAGUGAAGAAGGUUUUUCCGGAUCGUAAAGCUCUGUUGUAAGAGAAGAAUGUGUGUGGGAGUGGAAAAUCCAUGCAGUGACGGUAUCUUACCAGAAAGGGACGGCUAACUACGUGCCAGCAGCUGC
This 516-nucleotide ribosomal RNA is filed under the name uncultured bacterium. RNAcentral's name for it is "bacterial SSU rRNA". It matches the Rfam family "Bacterial small subunit ribosomal RNA", at positions 30 to 518 of the family's 1533-position model. The record is from RNAcentral.